CACAGAGGAUGGGGAGUGGGCUGUACUGUCUCCUUCAUCUCCAGGGCUUGGUACAAUUCUGGGCAUUACUAGGUGCUCUGUCUGGGGACUUGCAGGAGUUCAGUCGAGAAGGUGAAGUGAUUUGAUGUCAGGUAUUUCCUUGAAAAUCCUCUGGAGAGUGGAAUACAGAUGAAACAAACUUUGUCAAAAUCUGAUGGAUACACAGCAUUCGUGAUAACUUUCUUUUAUGUAUCUUUGAAAUUUCCAUAAUAAAAAGGUAAAAAAGAAGUUU
RNAcentral lists this long non-coding RNA (271 nucleotides) under Mustela putorius furo (domestic ferret). RNAcentral describes it as "lncRNA (ENSMPUG00000030239.1)". The record is from RNAcentral. Lineage: Eukaryota; Metazoa; Chordata; Mammalia; Carnivora; Mustelidae.